RNAcentral lists this transfer-messenger RNA (471 nucleotides) under Candidatus Roizmanbacteria bacterium CG_4_10_14_3_um_filter_39_13. It matches the Rfam family "transfer-messenger RNA". Rfam says of the family: Bacterial tmRNA, also known as 10Sa RNA or SsrA, is named for its dual tRNA and mRNA-like properties. Its role is to liberate the mRNA from a stalled ribosome. Lineage: Bacteria; Candidatus Roizmaniibacteriota. The record is from RNAcentral.
GGGGAUGACAGGAAUCGACGGGGAAUUCGCACAUUUACAAAAAGUGAGGUCGUAGUUAUGCGCUGGGCGGGAGCAGUUCCGUUCAGGAAAUAACAAAAAAACAAUAACAGCAAAACUUGAUUUCAAGAAAGCCGUUGCUGAACUCCAAGGUGUUGCGGAAGCAAAACUUGCAGAAAUGGGUGGUUUAUUCCAACCAAAUCUCAUGUUGAACGUUGCUUAAUUGCAAUUUUCCACUUUAGUUCAGUCUCAUUCUUUUGAUCCUUCCGACUUGCAAAGGAUAUGAGAUUAACCAGCCGGAAUACGUGAAUUGCCAUUCCCAAUUGGGCAAGGAACCGACAAAUUAUAAUUGGCUGUUUGGAGAGGUUUGUUUAUUUCCCUCCUCCAGACAUGCGUAAAAAAUAUCCUAUGCCUCACUAUUUUUUUGUAAACGUGUUUCCUCAGAUCCGGGUUCAAUUCCCGGCAUCUCCACAC